AGAGUAUUUUCUUUCUUGUCCAGAUUAGCUAAAUUGGAUUGUUCUAUGCUAAAUUCACUUAAUCACUACUCUAUUAUUUUUGAAUUUUUUAGUUCUGUUUUUUUCACUUGGUUCUUUUUUUAAAAAAACUUCUACUACCUUUCUGAGACUUCUACUUUUUUACUUUUUUCAAGAAGCUUUAUAAUUACUUGCUAAAGCAUUUUUACCAUGACUGUUUUUAACUUCUUCAGAUAACCACAACAUUUGGUUAAUCUUGAGGUUGGCUUGGUUAACUGUCUUUUCUCAUCCUGCUUAUGAUUUUCCUUCUAAUUGUGAUUUUUCCGGUUCUUGAUAGAUGGGUGAUGUUUUAGUUUAUCCUGCAUUUUUUUUUCCUUUUUAAGUUAGAGGAAUCUGAAUCUAUUCAAAUGUUUUAUUUUAGCAGGCAUGUGCCCUGUUUAGGUUUAAUUUGAAUGUCCUGUCCUACUUUUGUAGGCCAUGUUUUCGCAGGCAGUCUUGCUAUCAGAGCUGAGGGGAUGCUGUUUUGAUCACUUAGUUUAUCUGAUGUUGCUGGGCCUCCAACUGGUGCUGACUGGUACUUCCUGAGAUGGCGAAGGUUUUUCUGUACUCUGAGAUGCCGUGUAUCUCUAUGUAAGGGGAGGAGACUCUGGACCACAGGAAUGAAGAGAACAUCUUAGUUCAUUGUGGAACCAGCACAGAUUUUCAUACGAAAGUUAUUUCUUUUUAACCUCAAAAAGUGACAGAAUGGAGUGUAUCAUGAAAAAGUCUGACAUCAAAACCUCAAAAUGUGAUAUUGAUUGGGUGAGAUAGAAUUCCAUGGAAUUUCAUUGCCAAACCAGUGAAGUGCUAAUUUUGACAUUUGUACCAGCUAACGUAGCUGUGAAGAAACACACCAAUACACUUCUAAGGACAGCAUAGACCAAGAUCUAGGUUUCAUAUGGAUGAAUUUAUUCUUCCCUUUGAGGCAAGACAAGAAGGAAAGAAAGUAUUGGGAAUAAUGCUGCCCUCCCAUCCUCAAGGGCCAGUGGGAACUCUAAUAUUGAUUGGUUUUCACAGAAUUCCAUGGACUUUAACUGCUGAACCAAUGAUGCACUGAUUUUGUCACUUGUACCAGCUAACGCAUCUGGGAGGCAACAAAACAAUACUCUCCUGAGGUUAAUGUGGACCAAAAACUAGAUUUCAUAUAAAAGAGUUUAUUCCUUCUACUUGAGGUGUGACAUGAAGGAAAGUAAUGGAAAUAAUUCUGCCCUCCCAUUCUCAAGGGCCAGGGGGAAUUCAAAUAUUGAACGGAAGUGAUUUUGGAAUUGCAUGGAAUUCUCACUGCCAUCCCAAAGAAAUGCUGAUCUUGUCACUCUUACCUGUUUCAUUCCCUGGGGGCAGAACAAAAGGACGCACUCCAAAGAUCGGCAUGAACCAAGAACUGGGUUUCAUAUAAAAUAUUUUAUUCUGUCCUCUUGAGAUGUGACAUGAGAAAAGUAUUGAGAAUACUUCUAUCACCUCAUCUUCAAGAAUCCGUAGGAAUUCUCCCAUGGUGGACUUUACGGUUAACCUGAACAGGUCUUGGAAAAAGGACUUUAAACAUUCUCCUGUUCUGUGGAAUAAGUAUACUUUUUUCUGGACAUACACCUUGUCAGUGAGUUCCAUGUGAUACUAGAGUUGCAUAGAUUUUUAACCUUUACGCCAAUGAAGAUCUGAGGCAAACAUUGCCCCUUUUUUAGAAGUUUGCAUUUGUCACUGAUAACUGUAAUAAUUGAUCUUGUUGAAAAGCCUGGGAAAUGAAGAUCUGAUAUGUCACUUUUACCGGCUUCCUCAACUGAAAAAGAAUACAAUGAAACACGCUGAGAAUUUUUGUGCUUUCUCAGUCUUGCUGAUGAUCUUUCUAUGGGCCUGAAGCGUGGAGAGUGCCAGAGAGGCUGAUCCUCAGCAGUGUGGCAGAGGAAAGUUGGGUGCGACUAAGGGGUAUGCGGUGCCCACAUGCCACUGGGUCCUCAGCAGUACCACCUGAUUGGAAGUGAUAUUGGUGGAAGACAACAUUUUGCCGCUUGGAAUUCUCACCUCCACACCAAAGAAGUACUGUUUUUGUCAUUUGCACCAGCUUCUUUCUCCAGGAAAGAUCAAAACGAUGCACUGCAAGUGUGAUUGGUCCAGAUAGCUGCCUUAUCCAACUGCCUCCUUUGGACCACUUCAUCAUGGGACAGCUUGAUGCAAUCUACUUGACAAGACCCUGGAACCCCACACCCCUCAUGGAACCAGUGUCCACCUCCCAGUCACAGUGUGACCCCAGGGAACUCUUGCCUGCUUGCUUUAAACCCACCACUUAAAAGUCUCCACAGAAAACCUGUUUGAAUAGUACCCUUGACCCAAUAAGGGCAUUGGCCCCUGGGUGUCUCUCUCUCUCUCUCUCUCUCUCUCUCCCUCUCUCUCCCUCUCUCUCUCUCGCUCCCUGACCUCUGCGUGUGGACUCCAGGCAUGCCAUAUACCCCUCAGGACCUGAAGCAAAAGAAUGAAUUAAAGAAAACUCCAGAGAAUGAGCUGACAACCUACUCCCUGGUCAGUGGCUCUCCAUGCCUACCUGUGGUCUCUUGGACACCCUUGCAGAAGAUGACUUCCUGGGAACUCUUCUGGGAGUGAAUGUUAUCAGCAAAUUCCCAAAACAACACCCCUUAGACAAAAAGCCUCCUCACCUAUGCAUUGCCUAGACCACCCACUAAAGUAAACUGAACUCCUUCAUGGCUUGAUCCAUUGUGAUGCUAGAAAAUUGUUGUACACAGAAGA
Molecule: long non-coding RNA, 2772 nt
Filed under: Homo sapiens (human)
Lineage: Eukaryota; Metazoa; Chordata; Mammalia; Primates; Hominidae
Description: HSALNT0380153
Source: RNAcentral